GGGUAGCCUAAGUGGUUAGGGCAUCUGCCUCGGAUGCGAGAGGUAUAUGGUUCGAGCCCAGGCCGUCUCA
Potamilus streckersoni is the source of this 70-nucleotide non-coding RNA. Lineage: Eukaryota; Metazoa; Mollusca; Bivalvia; Unionida; Unionidae. The record is from the annotation of a GenBank genome assembly.